This is a long non-coding RNA of Pipra filicauda (Wire-tailed manakin), 4565 nucleotides long. RefSeq lists it as uncharacterized. The transcript has 16 exons. NCBI's taxonomy places the organism in Eukaryota, Metazoa, Chordata, Aves, Passeriformes, Pipridae. The record is from RefSeq and is a predicted model, not a curated record.
CGCCAUGUCACUGUUCGAAGGCGCGGCUGCUCGAAAAGUGUAAAGGUUCGGAGGCUGCAGCGGGUGCCCCCUCCCCGGCUCUCAGGUUUGGAGUCAAUAACCCGCUAAAAUGAGCGCGGCGGCGGUUGCUUUUCCAGCAAUUGUUUUCCAGCGCUCGUUCCAGGAUAUCGGGCUACACGCACGUUGGGUUUCCUCAAGAUGCCAGGGAAAAAGCGGUGGCACGGAGUGGCAGCUGGAGCCAGGGGCAGCUUGUGAGCCAAACCCCACACAAGUAAAUUUUAUCACCUCAGAGUUGCAUUUGACUUCCAUGUUGCCCAGAAAGAUCCUAUAUUAAUAUAUAUAUAUCACCUCCCCGAGGGUCACCAUCCCAAAGUCAUGUUCCCUAUGAUUUUUAUCUGGUCUAUUAUUUUGGCGAGGGAGGGGUGUUUCCUUUUGUUAUUUGCGAAAGGAAUUCCGUAUUCGUGAAUGCUCAUGUUUCUGGUUGCUCAAGUACCUUUUAUAUUUCACCAUUAUGACCAUCUUCCUGGACAAACAUGGAGAUUUCAUUAACACGUUUCAUUUCUAGACCAGCAAUGAGAUUUUAAGUGUUACCACACCCAGCAUCAGUCCUUGGCGCGGGCUGCUGGAUACAACUUCUUAUAUUCUCGCUCUUCCAAUUGCCUUUUUCGUAGUUUUCCAGGAUUGGAAAUGUGCUUCUGUGUAUAACAGCAUGUUUAGUUUUCCAAUAAUAUCUUCUGCAAUAGUACAUUAAAUAAUUUCCCUGUAAAGUUCCCUUCCUGCAUCUACUUUAGGUCAUCCAGAUUGCAAAAGUGACUGUGUGGAACAUAAGGCACUGCAUCGAUUUAGUUCGCUGCCUUAUAGAAAUGCUACACCUCCGUUGUCUUUGUAUCCAUUUCUGUUACAAAUAGAUACAUUUUAAUCAGAUAAUUUUGGCUACUGUUUCUCCUGUUAUAUUGGUAGUGUAAAAAGCCCACUGGCAAAGGCAGUUUUCUCAGUUUCACGCUCCAAAAUUUUUCAUCAAAUGGCCAACUUUUUACUUCAAAAAAACCCCAAAUUGGGGACAUUUCUAUUACAUUUUGUAGAUUUUGUCUUGUAUGUGUGUAUAUAUAUAUUUAUGGCCAUGUUUUUCAGUGAUCUGUGUAGUCAUACUCACAAGUUGGAGUUAUUUCAUGCAGGACUUGUAUGAAAUGUUUUUUUCUUGAGCCUUUCAGAUGUGGUGGCCAGUAACAUAUAUAUACUUCUUAAUUAUUAACAGAUACCGUAUUUCCUUGCCUCUUGUUUUCUUAAAAUUUUCCUGGAUUUUGUGAUUUUUGAAGGGAAUUGAAUCUCUUGUUCUCUCACUACCCUAAGACUCAUACAAUAUAUUGGCAUAAUGAGCAUUUUUAGGGGUUUUUUUUGUAGUUCUUUCUAAGCUGUUUAUUGAUAAGUGUUUGAAUUCCUAAUUCUCUACUAGAAAAUUUAGGGUAAAACCAAGUUAACAGUCGAUAUAUUAACAUUACCAUUAAAAAUCUAGUUUUUUGUCAGUGCAUCUUGUUAUUGUAUAUUUAUAUAAAACAUUGCUUAUUCUUUUGUUUAGUAUUGGUUCAGUCUUUUAUCCCUGCAUUACUCCUUUGCAAAGCCAGUCAAGUGAAGGCAUCUGCGUAUCCCAAAGUGGGAUUAUGACCUCAUUCUGAUUAUGACCUCAUUUUGAUAUUUUUGCUUCUCCCUGAACCCUGCUUUCUUGUUUGCCUCUGCCCUUUCUUCAGCAGGGAUUUGUUCUUCACCACUAAUCUUUUAGAAGUCCCUUAGGAUUUAUGUUGGUUUCUUCUGUUCCUUUUUUCUCCGAGUAAGUGUAGUCUGUGAGCUUUAAUUAUGGUAUAUUUUAAGAUUCCCUAGGAGUGAAUCUUAACAGAGUCUUCCACACAGUUCAGACAGAGAAUGACACAGGUGCGGCACAGGAAGCCCUAAAUGAGUGGCUGGGAUCUGCCGUCGUGGUUUUUGUGAAGUAAUUACUGAGCUCUGAAGAAAGUGUUUGAGGCUGUGCUACUCUUCUCAGAAGAAAAGAGGAUAAAGAAAAUCAUUCUUCUAGAAGAAAAUGUGAUUUGAAAGAUAGCAGGGAAACUGGGCCUGUUGUGCAUAGGCUGUAGCAGGAUAAAGUUCCAUUAAGUAAGGAUGUAAGCCAGUGGAUGUCUGCAACAGAAGAAGAAAAGGAAGACAGAGAGGUUUGAAUUCACACAGACAACUUCUGUGGCUAAAUUGAGAUUUCCAGGUGAAAUCCAACCUGAAGUAAAAUGAAGACAAAAGAGCAAUAUUUAAUUUUCAAGCUUUUGGGAGACGCAUUCUGAUUGUUUUUCUGGGAGAUUCUCUUUAAGAUCUGAUUUAUUUUCCCUUAGAUAAAGCCUUCAGCCUUCUUUAAAAUUCAAAUGUGUGGAAGAGCCGAGAGAAAAAAGAUGUGGCAAGAAAACCUUGUCAUUGUGCUUAUGGUCCUGUACCUACUGAACUCAACAACAGAAAUAUUGAAAGGAGUUUGAAGCCCAUAUUUUCCACCUGAUCUCCGCUGGCGUCUCUUGAAGAGUCUGGCCCCUCUGUUGCUGAGUGUUGAGAGUUCCUCUACCAUGAUAUCUCUGGGCGUGCUGACCUUUUUCCCAAGGUUUAAGGACAGGGGAAGACCGAGAGAGCAAGUUAAAGGCUGGUUGCAGAUGACUCUAAGGGAACAGAUCCUCUACUGGGAGCUGUUAUUGGAGUCAUGCAGACGAGAUCCCUCAAGGAGCAGGUUGCCACAAUUUAAUCAGUGAUUCCUAAGGAUAGUGACCUGCUACUAGAUGAGAAGAGACUGAGAUUAUCGUAGUUGACACGGGAAAAGAAUUGGAUCUAUGUCCUGCUUGAAAGAAGAAUUUAUCAGAUUGCCUCUGAAUAUGCAUUAGAAGACGGGCAGAGUUCAGCCCUUUCUGGAGAUGCCUUUCCAGCUCGCUGCAGGAGCAACAGCCCUGGUGUAAUUCCAGGAAGGAAGCAGAACCCACGGAGUCAGCACGGCAGGGUAACCACUGCAUCUGGAAUUUCCCACUGUCAGGAGUGCCCUUUGCUGAUUAAAACGUCAAGGGCUGAGCAAUUCCUCAAAUCCACAGAAAUGUUAAUCUUAGGGGAAAGUUCCUUUUGUGAGGAACUCAGCCAGGAUGUUUGCUAUCAUCAGAGCACUACGGAGAAUCCAGGACCUCCUGACACCAGUUCACAAGCAGCAGGGACUGGGGGCUGUCCAGGGGCUCUUCAGGAGGGUCUGUAAAGACUUGGGCUGAAUCUGUGAGUGAGCAAGGAGUGGGUGCUGUGAUGCCUUGAUGAGAGAUCACAUCCCAGAGGCACAGGUGGUCCUUACACUUGUUUGAGGUGGAAAUAUGCAAUUCAGUGAAUAACAAUGCUGUCUUCAGCAAGAAAGCAAAAGUCUUCACAGCAGGUUGGUGACACGUGGAUAUUGGAGACCAGGACAAGCUUCAGACAGACAGCUGGGAAAAUCAAAGUUUUAAGAGGAACUGUUUGCCUCUCAGUGGAUAAUAUAUCUAUGAAGCAUGGGAGACUUUCUGGACUCGUUGAACUUUCAGAGGCAGCCCAGCAAGGUAUAAAAUCCUGCAUCACUUGAGCUUCUCCUGCUACACUGGCUGGGUAUGUUGAAGAAAAAAGUCGAAAGAGCUGAAAACCAAGGAGGCACGACAUCAGACCUGAAAUUUUAGUCCUCAUCAAUCGAACAUAUAAAAUGGUUAGUACAAGGAUAUUUGAUCAUUUGAAUUGGCUUAUAUUUCUAUUCCAUUUGCAAUCUCCUAUUUUACAGUAACUUCAAAAUUUUGAUGAAUGCCAUUAGAAACUGACCCUGCAAACUUUUUCUUUAGCUUUAUGCCAAUGUCUGUCUCUCGUGCCCCUCUAGAUAAGCAGGCUUCUGUUUUCUGUGCACAGUAGUUUCCAGUCAUGUCAGACAAUAACAUAUUCUACAUAUUAAAAAGUCUUCAAAUAAUAUAGUGAGACCACGCUCUUCUUUAAGAAAAAAAGCAGCAUCUUCUUACUGAAAUGCUGCUGCAGGAGACAAAUAGGAUUAAGCAACACCAUUGUGCUGUAAACAGACACCAGCAGUCUGUAAGUUGUCACUGUACAAUCAUUUCCUCAGGCCUCCUCUGACUAGCUGAAGGUUCACUUGGCAGCACAAAAUGCACAAUCUUACAAAAACCAGCUGUAUUGUGUGUAUGUGAUUGUGCAAGCCUGAAUUUAGUUAAGGAUAAAGAUUUCUUUGAAAAGCCACUAAUUUCCAAAAUAUUUGUAAACAUCUUACUAAUCCCGGAGUCCUUCCCUGUAGCUGUUUUAGAAACAUAUUUGCCAUAAUACUUGUUCUGAGUGCCCAAGCAAGAAGUAAAGAACUGGGUAAAAGAAAUGUGACUGAGGGAAAAUGCUAAGUAAUUAUUUUUCUGUUAAGUAAUUCCAAGUAAUUAAGUAAUUCUAAGUAAUAUGUGGUUGUAUGUGAUCAUACAUGUGUGUCAUUAAAACUAGAUGUGUGAACAACAUAUAUAAAGAACACUGGGUAAAUGUGGGAUUUUUUUUUUUUUGUC